UCUGGUGAUUAAGGCGAAGAGGUCACACCCGUUCCCAUGCCGAACACGGAAGUUAAGCUCUUCAGCGCCGAUGGUAGUUGGGGGUUUCCCCCUGUGAGAGUAGGACGUCGCCAGGC
This 116-nucleotide ribosomal RNA is filed under the name Litchfieldia suaedae. The record is from RNAcentral. Lineage: Bacteria; Bacillati; Bacillota; Bacilli; Caryophanales; Bacillaceae.